GUGGUUCCACAGUACCUGCUUUGGACUGGCAGCAGUCAGCAAAGACUGCAAAGCAUACACAGAGGCAUACACAACAUCCCAGGAAAGCGUGCUGUAAACUGAACUCCCAACUUCCCUCUCCAAAAUAAAAGGAUGCUUUCAGUGGAUCCUGGAAAGAAAGGAAAGAAAUAAAGACUGAAAGAGUCCAACUACCAUGCCACAAGAUCUGUACUGAAGAAGAUGAUAUCUGGCUAAAAUUUUAUCUGGCCUUGGGAACUUCGUGGACAACUCAUUCCCCAACAGACAUGGGGUUAAAAGUGAUGUGGCUGGAGAGUCAAGUCCUAGAAGAGGCCAUGCCUGUAGGCACAGAAGACGGCAAUCAAUCAAAAGAGAUGAUGACAAGCAAGAGAAAUAGAAGAAAGAAUGGCAAAAAUAUUAUCGUGCUUGGUAGUCGCUUGGAUUUUCAUCUAAAAUACUGCUAGCUCCCUCCAGCAGAACACCGUGCAAAAAUGAACCAACACUUCUUGAUCCGUCAGUCUAAAUGUGGCCUUGGCCAGGUUUUCCUCAAAUGAAACAGAGGACCAGCUGCCAAGUUGGCAUUGGCAGCUAUCAACAUGUGGCAAGUCACCAACACUGAGCACAACCCUGGCUGGAGUUGUGGCUGUGCAGAGGUUUAUCAUAAAAACAGAGGACGUGCAAGCAAUACUUUCAGCAUUCAACUACUGGCGGUAUAAGAGAAAAUGCUCUGGCCAGUAUUUUGGGUCAGCAUGUGUUUGCCUCAGCUUUCACAGGAAUCCUUUGGCACGGUAAGUGGUUGUCAUGCUGUACUGGUGGAAGGGGAAGAAGUGACAUUACUGCACAGGUGUCUGUUCCUCAGCACUUCCUGUACAAUAGGGUACAAGUAUUAAUGCUCUGGGAUGGGUUAUCACAGUGAAUUGAGCACUUGGAGCUAAACGAUACAGUGUCCUGCUUCCAAUAUUCCCCACCUGAACUGAGACUCAAGAGUGUGCUGCAAACCCUCCUUGUACAGUAGCUGCUCUCUCCAUACUUUCUGUACUUGCAGUUAUGUUCUUGGAAAAGCCUCUCAAGGUUACAAGACUUAAGAUUUUCUCCCAUACAAUUAGCACUAUAUAUGAAGUUCUAAAAAAAUGUUUCUUACAUCCAUCAUAGGAUGCUAAAAAGAUGCUCAUGUCAGCAUCUUUUAGGGAAAAACUUAAAAGUAAAACUCAGAGAUAGACAGACUGACAAAUAGGCUUCCAGUCUUUUAGUCUCUACGGCUUCAAAUUUAACAGCAGCCAAAGCAUUACCGGGCAUUCCAAUAGGAUCUUACUGAACUCCCAAAGCUGCUCUUGAUGCACUGCUGCCCUACAUCAACUAGCACUGUCCAAAGCAAUGACUCCGUUUGGGAUGACAGAGAUUGAAGCACAGAUGAGUGAUGCUCUGGUGCAAUUUAAUUCUAUUGCACGGGCAUAGGUCCCAGCAUUUUUAUUGGCUGGACCUACUACACAGCCAGUUGCUACAUAAUUGGAUUUAAUCUACAGUCAUUUCACCUGUACUUUACUCGGAUGCAAUCUACUUAAAGGCGAUGACUCAUCUUACCACAAGUCCUUGCUGGGUAACUUAAUUUUGAAGAAAAAAGCCCAGUUCCCAGAAUUCAGAGUUGAAAGUAAUCUAGAAAAAAGGUGUAUGUGCAUCUCCCUCAGUAUACUAGAAACAGAAGUUAAAGCCAAUAAAAUAAGAAAUGGAAGAGCAAAACCAAACAAGCAUCACCACUGAGAAAAAUAUGUGGAUAACGUGUGCUGCAUGAUGACAGGAGAUCGAAUCCUAACACAUGGAGUGGAACAUUUGGAAACUUCAACUUCUCCAGCUGUAAGUGGGCCUUUCUUUCACUGUACUGUACAAGUAUUCUGUGAUAUUUACCAAACAUCAUCUUGAGAAAAAGCAGCUUCAUUCACCACUCCUGUAGUUCACAGAAAGACAGGUGUAGAGAUGACUCCCUAAGGAACCCCACUCCUGAAGUUUACCAGAGAGUAAAUUUUUCAUCUUCUAGCAGUCUGAUCAGACCUCUUAGCUCUUAGCAUAUCUUUGAAAUGAGCAGCACCUAACUAUUAGCAAGCUUAUUGUUAGCAAUCACUUAAGUACCAGGGUAUUGGUAGAACUGGAGAUUUUAUCAGUCUUGCACUUCAGGUGUAACCUCCAUUAUACUUUGUUCACUGACACCAUCUGAACCCUGACUCUCAGAUCCACCCCUUUCUCAAUUAUAAAAUAGAUAAAUAUCAACUUCAUACUUAAACCUAUUCAGGCAGGCUUUGCUGCUGUUUCAUAGCUUAAUUGUUCCUUCUCAACUCAACCGUAACUCUCUUUUGCUGAUCAACAUCUACCUAAGCCUAAUUCUAACCCAAGCCCAGUGACCCCUGUAAAACUUUUGCUCAGCAAAAACCAAGUAUCUCUGGGUGAACUCAACCUUUUGCAGACCCUGCUGUAAAUCAAUAUAUAUUUUUUUCCUUCUGGCAUUAACCACUGUAACUCCAAACCUAAUUCUAUUUGGUCCUCCUCAGCAGUCCCACACCUGACCCCAACCAAAUGGCUCACAUUGAUAUUGCUAAAUCCUCCACCUAGCCUAUAUGGCAAGUUCUAGGUACAUCUUUACCACUUGUCAGCAGUUAACAUCAGCUCUAAACAUAACCCUAGCUUUAUCACCAGGUUCAGACUUGAACCAAACUAAACAGUAGCUGCCAACACCAGUCUUACUGCAAACUGGUUGUAGUCAUAUAUCACUGGCUGCUGCUGGCCUGAACCCAGCCAUAUUAAUACUAGUUAUCAUUAGGCCAGCAAUCUUAAGAUGACCUCUAUAAUGAUGAGGGUGUUUUUCUGUAUCUUCCAGACUACGCCUUCUGCCAGCUGAUACGUGUGGAUAGAUAACUGUGUCUGGAAUACUUUGAUUAAUUAUUAAGUUUCUGUUUUAAGUAAUACUUGAUGACAAUUUCCAUACAGGUAGAAUAGGAAAAUGAAUUUAACAACAGUGAAGAAUUCAACCUGUUUGUGCUUCCAGUGUAUCAUAUAUUACUUGUGUGUUUUUAUCUAGGAAAAAAAAAAAACAAUAGACAAAAAAACCUCAGAAUAUUCUGAUAGUACUAGUGGGAAAACCUUGGUCUCCUGGUCAGUACCUGAAGCAGAAAUCCUGUCUAUUUACUCUGAAAUAUGAAAUGUUAAAGUACUUUUAGCCUGAACAGAAGUGUACAAUUGUCUAUAGGGAAGUAAGGCCCACAGUAAGCACUUUACGCUUGCAAUAUAAAAACCAAGGGUAAUUAGAAAUAGGCCUCUAUGCUGUAAAUUGCUGCACUUCUUAAAGAUGUAAGGAGUGCAAGCCAUGGUUACAGUCAUUGUUUACUCCUUGAAUUUUCUUAUUUAUACUCAAAUUCUGCAUCCUAAGAGCUUAAUCUCUGAUUCUUGUCUCUUUGACUGACAUUUGUGAAUGAUGUAUUUUCCUCAUAAUUAAUCAAUGGGCAGUCAUAUACUGCACGUCAGCAGCGUAAGUAUAAAUUUCAAACUAGUACUCUUAAAUAUGAUACCUUUCAGUCACUGAGGUGACAGUCAGUUACCUGAGGCCUCUAAAGUAGCAAUAUAGUCAUCUCAGACUCCUACAGUCAACGAAGAGACACAGAGCAAUUCAGCUUCAAAGAACAAUUCAGAUCUUAGUUCAGCUGAAUCAAACUCUGAAGGUGUCCCUUUUCUCUUUUAACUGUCUAGGAAGCCUACUUUGACUAAUUUUUCCUCAGCUGCUUCAGUUAUAUCAAGACUGAGUCAAAGGUUUUAAAGACAGUAGCUAAAAAGCAAAGAUUAAUUAGAUUGUCCAUUAAUUCCACCCAGUAUUAUUGGCCUAACAAAGAUUAAAUAUUGAACAACUAUCAAGAUUUCAAGAGCUAUAUAGAAGCCAAAGUCCAUUUAAAAAAAGAUAAAUUAUAAUUCAUCUGUUGCCUCCUCAUGAGAUAGAAGUCAUCUUUGGAAAGGCUUCAAUUAUACUGGCGCAACACUACAGCUACCUCAAGAAUUCAAAUAAGAAUGGUCUGUUGGGAUGGCAUUACUAGCUCUUCAAGAAAUUUAGGUCAUCAUCACAAAAGCACCUGGCUAACACAGUUAUUUCAACUUACACUUAGGAUACCUAUUUGUAAUUUUAGUAUCUUUUAACAGUACAGAUUUGAGACAUGCGGAAGUAAUCUUAAAAUGAAAGAGGUUCCAAGCAACUUUGAAAAGUGUCCUUAAGCUGUAAAAGAGCCCUUCGCCACAUUAAUUCUCUCUCAAACAAGAAAGAAGAAAGACAAGAAAGAUAUUCUGCAUGCAGGUAAUUGCUUGGUAGGAAAGCUUCAGCUCUUCUGAUUUCAGAGAUGAAAACUUGUGUACAGAUGUUACCAGCAAGUAUUUUUUUUCCAUAAUGGCAAGAAAUGUGGCCAUGAUAUCUUAAUUCCAUAUGUAAUUAAAUCCCUUGAAGAGUCCUGAAAGUUUUGGGAAAAAUCACUAUAAUUUCUGCUAAUCUUUUUAUCCAGAAAUUAGGUUAGGUAAGUUUUAAAAAAAUCCAGAAGGGAAGAAAGGGGACAGACAGAGAGACCUGCAGAGAUAAAUAAAAUAAUAAUCAGCAUAGGAAUCUGAAGGAAAUGCCUUACUUGAGGUUUCAUAGUAAAGUGAUUGUGAAGCUUUUUUAUGCAGGAACAGACUUUUUUUUUAAUCUCGAGAAUUUUCAUAAGAUGUCAAAAACUUGAUAUUUAGAGCAGCAAGAAAUGAGGAGAGGUAACUGAAUAAGCUAAUUUAAACUGUCAGAGCACAGAAAAUAGUGUUGUUUUCUCUCAGUCCAAAUGAAAGUGAAUGCACUAAAAAAAAAAGCAAUGACUGACAAGCAUUGUCAAAUACGUAAGCCCUUAAGAGCCCAAUUAUUGAUAAAACUCAGUUCUUAAAUGCAGUCAAAGUACUUGCUGUGAGCGUUCUCAGCUAGAACCAGCACUGUUAUGUUGGUGGAAUGAAAGCCGUUUCGAAUGAAAACAUUAAUGGACUAUUUAAAGUACUAUUAUCAAUACUCUACUAUACGGUAUUACUUUUCUCCACACUACACUUCACUUAGAUACACUUUAACUUAAAAACCUUCUAGCAGCGAACAGUUGCCUAGCGUAAGGUUAGUCAGAAAUAUCUGUCUCAUUCAAAUAACUUUACUAAAUAAAACAAAAAUCCCUUUUUCCCUAAUUUAUUAAUCAUCACAAGUAUUUUGACAUCAGCGGUUCAUUUUUUUGUUAGCUUUUCACUCCUGAUCGGAUUAUGUAACACUUCUGUUGCACGGUGCCCAUUCUCUUCCCCACGUGUCUUUUCAGAAGUCUCUGAAUUUGUUGAAAAAGUAAAAUUGUGUACAUUUUUCUUAAACAAACCACGCUGCUUCUCUAACAGGUUUUAAAAAUAAGAUAAAUUGCAAUAAUAAACCUGUAUUUAUGUCAAUAAUUCAAAUAAAUAAUAAACGGCUGUUUUUAAGGUUUAAGCA
Long non-coding RNA from Gallus gallus (chicken), 5500 nucleotides. RefSeq lists it as uncharacterized. The transcript has 5 exons. Lineage: Eukaryota; Metazoa; Chordata; Aves; Galliformes; Phasianidae. The record is from RefSeq and is a predicted model, not a curated record.